ACAACUAAUAAGCACGCUUUUCGCUUUGCUUUUUAUUGUCGUUUUGAAACAGCAACUCGACAAUGGCGUACUACUUCUGUUGCGUCACUUGAGAAGGAGAAGAGAGAUAGAAUACCGGAGAAGGGAGGCAGAAGACCAAGCUGUAGAAGGAUUGGAGAACAUGGUCAAACGUUGUGCUGCGUUUGAAGAACCGCCACCACCACCUGACUGAAGCGUAAGUGAAAUAUCUGGCGACCAACACCUUAGUGGCAAGAUGGGCUGCACAGUGUGGGAGUGGAAAAUACUCUUCCCGUCCCUCAGUGAUGGGAACCACCUGGCUGCAAGCAUCCACCUGCACAGGUACAGGCCCACCCAGUUAGAGGCCGCCUACACCCACGGUGUGUUCAGCAGUGGCAGGUAAGAAGAACAAACUUAUCUAUGUGUGUGUGUGAGUGAAAGUAUGUGUGUGUGUUUCUGCCCUAAUAGAUUAUCGAUGCACUGCUGGCUUGGUUGGCUACAGC
Amphiprion ocellaris (clown anemonefish) is the source of this 500-nucleotide long non-coding RNA. The record is from Ensembl. Lineage: Eukaryota; Metazoa; Chordata; Actinopteri; Pomacentridae.